CCAGAAAUCAAUCCAAGCCAUUAUGCUCAAUUAAUAUUUGAGAAAGUGUUGGAAAAGCCUCAUAGAAUAAAUAUGUUGUUUCCUUUAUUCACAGAACUGUGUGUUAGAUCUGUGGGAAGGAAUUACAAGACAGCU
Myotis daubentonii (Daubenton's bat) is the source of this 135-nucleotide small nucleolar RNA. The record is from RefSeq and is a predicted model, not a curated record. Lineage: Eukaryota; Metazoa; Chordata; Mammalia; Chiroptera; Vespertilionidae.